UACGUAGGGGGCAAGCGUUGUCCGGAUUUAUUGGGCGUAAAGAGCGUGUAGGCGGCCUGGUAGGUCAGCUGUGAAAACUCGAGGCUCAACCUCGAGACGCCGGUUGAAACCAUCAGGCUAGAGUCCGGAAGAGGAGAGUGGAAUUCCCGGUGUAGCGGUGAAAUGCGCAGAUAUCGGGAAGAACACCCGUGGCUAAGGCGGCUCUCUAGUACGGUACUGACGCUGAGACGCGAAAAGCGUGGGGAGCCGAACGAGG
This 256-nucleotide ribosomal RNA is filed under the name uncultured bacterium. RNAcentral describes it as "partial 16S ribosomal RNA". It matches the Rfam family "Bacterial small subunit ribosomal RNA", at positions 524 to 777 of the family's 1533-position model. The record is from RNAcentral.